UUUUAUGAGAGUUUGAUCCUGGCUCAGGACGAACGCUGGCGGCGUGCCUAAUACAUGCAAGUCGAACGCUUCUUUUUCCACCGGAGCUUGCUCCACCGGAAAAAGAGGAGUGGCGAACGGGUGAGUAACACGUGGGUAACCUGCCCAUCAGAAGGGGAUAACACUUGGAAACAGGUGCUAAUACCGUAUAACAAUCGAAACCGCAUGGUUUUGAUUUGAAAGGCGCUUUCGGGUGUCGCUGAUGGAUGGACCCGCGGUGCAUUAGCUAGUUGGUGAGGUAACGGCUCACCAAGGCCACGAUGCAUAGCCGACCUGAGAGGGUGAUCGGCCACAUUGGGACUGAGACACGGCCCAAACUCCUACGGGAGGCAGCAGUAGGGAAUCUUCGGCAAUGGACGAAAGUCUGACCGAGCAACGCCGCGUGAGUGAAGAAGGUUUUCGGAUCGUAAAACUCUGUUGUUAGAGAAGAACAAGGAUGAGAGUAACUGUUCAUCCCUUGACGGUAUCUAACCAGAAAGCCACGGCUAACUACGUGCCAGCAGCCGCGGUAAUACGUAGGUGGCAAGCGUUGUCCGGAUUUAUUGGGCGUAAAGCGAGCGCAGGCGGUUUCUUAAGUCUGAUGUGAAAGCCCCCGGCUCAACCGGGGAGGGUCAUUGGAAACUGGGAGACUUGAGUGCAGAAGAGGAGAGUGGAAUUCCAUGUGUAGCGGUGAAAUGCGUAGAUAUAUGGAGGAACACCAGUGGCGAAGGCGGCUCUCUGGUCUGUAACUGACGCUGAGGCUCGAAAGCGUGGGGAGCAAACAGGAUUAGAUACCCUGGUAGUCCACGCCGUAAACGAUGAGUGCUAAGUGUUGGAGGGUUUCCGCCCUUCAGUGCUGCAGCUAACGCAUUAAGCACUCCGCCUGGGGAGUACGACCGCAAGGUUGAAACUCAAAGGAAUUGACGGGGGCCCGCACAAGCGGUGGAGCAUGUGGUUUAAUUCGAAGCAACGCGAAGAACCUUACCAGGUCUUGACAUCCUUUGACCACUCUAGAGAUAGAGCUUCCCCUUCGGGGGCAAAGUGACAGGUGGUGCAUGGUUGUCGUCAGCUCGUGUCGUGAGAUGUUGGGUUAAGUCCCGCAACGAGCGCAACCCUUAUUGUUAGUUGCCAUCAUUCAGUUGGGCACUCUAGCAAGACUGCCGGUGACAAACCGGAGGAAGGUGGGGAUGACGUCAAAUCAUCAUGCCCCUUAUGACCUGGGCUACACACGUGCUACAAUGGGAAGUACAACGAGUCGCGAAGUCGCGAGGCUAAGCUAAUCUCUUAAAGCUUCUCUCAGUUCGGAUUGCAGGCUGCAACUCGCCUGCAUGAAGCCGGAAUCGCUAGUAAUCGCGGAUCAGCACGCCGCGGUGAAUACGUUCCCGGGCCUUGUACACACCGCCCGUCACACCACGAGAGUUUGUAACACCCGAAGUCGGUGAGGUAACCUUUUGGAGCCAGCCGCCUAAGGUGGGAUAGAUGAUUGGGGUGAAGUCGUAACAAGGUAGCCGUAUCGGAAGGUGCGGCUGGAUCACCUCCUUU
Enterococcus faecium DO is the source of this 1560-nucleotide non-coding RNA. The record is from Rfam. NCBI's taxonomy places the organism in Bacteria, Bacillati, Bacillota, Bacilli, Lactobacillales, Enterococcaceae.